Thunnus maccoyii (southern bluefin tuna) is the source of this 515-nucleotide long non-coding RNA. RefSeq lists it as uncharacterized. NCBI's taxonomy places the organism in Eukaryota, Metazoa, Chordata, Actinopteri, Scombriformes, Scombridae. The transcript has 5 exons. The record is from RefSeq and is a predicted model, not a curated record.
CGUCAGUCCAGCACCCAGAGGAAAGACUGAAAAGUGCUCCUCUCUUUGAGUCCAUAUCACAACUGCAGCUGGAGCAGCAGAUACCUGCUCAGCAUCUCAUCAUCACCCCUGAUCCUCAGCAGUGACCUUCACUCAGGCCUCUAAUCCUGCAGGUCUGAUGGGUCCAGAAUGAGGAUGAGGAUGAGGAGAGCUCACUGUUCACCAGAGACUCAGCUGAUCUGAACUGAAAGCUUCUCACAGCCAAUGAAUACGUCUAUAACUCUGUGACAUCAUCAGAUCUGGAUCAAUGGACCUGAUGCUGCUUUUGAACCUGUUUAAAGCUCCUGUGUCUCCUUGAACUGAUCUCAUCUUCACUCCUUCAGUGUAACAUGCCUCUGUUUAGACUCUUCUGGUCACUGUCCUUCAUCUCAGACCUCCACACAUCCCUCCUCUGGUCAGCCUGCAGCCUCCAGCUCUGACAGGACUACAACCAGCCAGACUUUCUGUUUGCCAUGUCUGUAUUUACUUUGUAUCAA